RNAcentral lists this ribosomal RNA (1401 nucleotides) under Bacillus tequilensis. RNAcentral describes it as "bacterial SSU rRNA". It matches the Rfam family "Bacterial small subunit ribosomal RNA". The record is from RNAcentral. Lineage: Bacteria; Bacillati; Bacillota; Bacilli; Caryophanales; Bacillaceae.
UGCAGUCGAGCGGACAGAUGGGAGCUUGCUCCCUGAUGUUAGCGGCGGACGGGUGAGUAACACGUGGGUAACCUGCCUGUAAGACUGGGAUAACUCCGGGAAACCGGGGCUAAUACCGGAUGGUUGUUUGAACCGCAUGGUUCAAACAUAAAAGGUGGCUUCGGCUACCACUUACAGAUGGACCCGCGGCGCAUUAGCUAGUUGGUGAGGUAAUGGCUCACCAAGGCAACGAUGCGUAGCCGACCUGAGAGGGUGAUCGGCCACACUGGGACUGAGACACGGCCCAGACUCAUACGGGAGGCAGCAGUAGGGAAUCUUCCGCAAUGGACGAAAGUCUGACGGAGCAACGCCGCGUGAGUGAUGAAGGUUUUCGGAUCGUAAAGCUCUGUUGUUAGGGAAGAACAAGUACCGUUCGAAUAGGGCGGUACCUUGACGGUACCUAACCAGAAAGCCACGGCUAACUACGUGCCAGCAGCCGCGGUAAUACGUAGGUGGCAAGCGUUGUCCGGAAUUAUUGGGCGUAAAGGGCUCGCAGGCGGUUUCUUAAGUCUGAUGUGAAAGCCCCCGGCUCAACCGGGGAGGGUCAUUGGAAACUGGGGAACUUGAGUGCAGAAGAGGAGAGUGCAAUUCCACGUGUAGCGGGUGAAAUGCGUAGAGAUGUGGAGGAACACCAGUGGCGAAGGCGACUCUCUGGUCUGUAACUGACGCUGAGGAGCGAAAGCGUGGGGAGCGAACAGGAUUAGAUACCCUGGUAGUCCACGCCGUAAACGAUGAGUGCUAAGUGUUAGGGGGUUUCCGCCCCUUAGUGCUGCAGCUAACGCAUUAAGCACUCCGCCUGGGGAGUACGGUCGCAAGACUGAAACUCAAAGGAAUUGACGGGGGCCCGCACAAGCGGUGGAGCAUGUGGUUUAAUUCGAAGCAACGCGAAGAACCUUACCAGGUCUUGACAUCCUCUGACAAUCCUAGAGAUAGGACGUCCCCUUCGGGGGCAGAGUGACAGGUGGUGCAUGGUUGUCGUCAGCUCGUGUCGUGAGAUGUUGGGUUAAGUCCCGCAACGAGCGCAACCCUUGAUCUUAGUUGCCAGCAUUCAGUUGGGCACUCUAAGGUGACUGCCGGUGACAAACCGGAGGAAGGUGGGGAUGACGUCAAAUCAUCAUGCCCCUUAUGACCUGGGCUACACACGUGCUACAAUGGACAGAACAAAGGGCAGCGAAACCGCGAGGUUAAGCCAAUCCCACAAAUCUGUUCUCAGUUCGGAUCGCAGUCUGCAACUCGACUGCGUGAAGCUGGAAUCGCUAGUAAUCGCGGAUCAGCAUGCCGCGGUGAAUACGUUCCCGGGCCUUGUACACACCGCCCGUCACACCACGAGAGUUUGUAACACCCGAAGUCGGUGAGGUAACC